Molecule: long non-coding RNA, 775 nt
Organism: Seriola aureovittata
Lineage: Eukaryota; Metazoa; Chordata; Actinopteri; Carangiformes; Carangidae
Exons: 3
Source: RefSeq, a predicted model, not a curated record
UUGUACUUGACAAUUAGAGAUGGGUGGAAAAUGUUAAGUUGGGUGUACAGAGAAAUGCUUCCAAUUACACGGCGACACGGGGCCUUGUACCUUCCCAGCCUCCACCGCCGAACGACUCCAUGAGGCCCGCACACACACAUUAGCAUUUAUAUCUACUGCAACAACACAGAGCACCCUCGUUCUUUGGCUCUACCGUUUACUCUUCUUGUGUGGGGAAAUAAAACUGUAAAAAAAAAAAAGAAAACCCAAAUAAAUAAGGACGCCCUGGCCUCAAGUCGAUGCAGAUAGAACCACCUGGAGUUAGGUUUUCCCUUCUGUCUGAGGGCUCGUGCUACAACAUGCUCGCCUAACCCUGACAAUCGCAGGGCAAAACGAUGCCACUGAGGAGCAAUACAAGCCAGGGAGUCUGUUGAGAUGAUGAGGGUGCUGCUGCUGCCCCUCUGUGUCUGCCGCGGAGAGAAUAGACCAUCAAACUACAAGGCCACGCUUUUAAUUUCCACAUUUGGUUAAAAAUAAAAACAAACCACUAGGCUACAUGUAAAGCUGCAGAUAUCCUGUUAUUUAUAAUAUUGCUUGUAAUUUAACAGCUGCCGUUAAAAUAAAAGUCUGACUGUGAUUUAGACUCUGGAUUUUUUUUUUUGUAGGCGUCUGCAUCUUUUUUCUUGUAUUAUUAUUUUAUUUCUCGGGACAAUGACAUCUGAGGGAGCACGGGCUUGGCUAUUUGAUAAUUUUGUUAACUUUUCACCUCCGUUCAAUAUCCUGUCACAACGGCUGA